Molecule: ribosomal RNA, 160 nt
Filed under: Enarthrocarpus arcuatus
Lineage: Eukaryota; Viridiplantae; Streptophyta; Magnoliopsida; Brassicales; Brassicaceae
Also listed under: 1 other name
Description: 5.8S ribosomal RNA
Rfam family: 5.8S ribosomal RNA
About the family: 5.8S ribosomal RNA (5.8S rRNA) is a component of the large subunit of the eukaryotic ribosome. It is transcribed by RNA polymerase I as part of the 45S precursor that also contains 18S and 28S rRNA.
Source: RNAcentral
AACGACUCUCGGCAACGGAUAUCUCGGCUCUCGCAUCGAUGAAGAACGUAGCGAAAUGCGAUACUUGGUGUGAAUUGCAGAAUCCCGUGAACCAUCGAGUCUUUGAACGCAAGUUGCGCCCCAAGCCUUCUGGCCGAGGCACGUCUGCCUGGGUGUCACA